RNAcentral lists this ribosomal RNA (229 nucleotides) under uncultured bacterium. RNAcentral's name for it is "partial 16S ribosomal RNA". It matches the Rfam family "Bacterial small subunit ribosomal RNA", at positions 568 to 796 of the family's 1533-position model. The record is from RNAcentral.
CGCGUAGGCGGGCUGAUCAGUCUGUGGUGAAAGUUUACGGCUUAACCGUAAAAUUGCCUUGGAUACUGUCAGUCUUGAGUUCGGAAGAGGAAAGUGGAAUUCCUGGUGUAGCGGUGAAAUGCGUAGAUAUCAGGAAGAACACCGGUGGCGAAGGCGGCUUUCUGGUCCGAAACUGACGCUGAGGCGCGAAAGUGUGGGGAGCGAACAGGAUUAGAUACCCUGGUAGUCC